Molecule: long non-coding RNA, 3973 nt
Filed under: Bemisia tabaci
Lineage: Eukaryota; Metazoa; Arthropoda; Insecta; Hemiptera; Aleyrodidae
Description: lncRNA ENSSSA1UGG002299
Source: RNAcentral
GGUAUCUCGCUCGUAUGAUUGAUGCGAAAUGUGGCGCUGGGGUAGAACUAUCCGCUCCACAGCGGCAUUCUACAGGCAUCCCUUCACCGGGCAAAAGUGACCUCUUGAGGCCCAUCUUCAUGCUUGACAUUUUUCUUUGGACUCUUUUUCCACGGUCCAGUCCAGCUGUUUUUUAUAUAUAAGAGGCCAUCUUUGGAGGGAUGCUGUUUAUUGCACUCUGUGCUCUAGGAUAGUUGUUCCGUCCUGUAUUGUUACGGUCUCAUAGUUCCGACUUCGAAGGGAGCAUCAUGAAGGUUUUUCUGCGCGUCGUCGAAAUCCUCGCGGCUUUGUUUCUUGUAAUUGCAAUCGUCCGUGGUGCGCCGGCGCCUCAACCGAGCCCUGUAGCAAACCCGCAACUAUUUUGGCCAUUCAGUCUGUACCAGCCGUUUUAUUCGCCAGUAGUGGCACCAAGAUCACUCAUUAGUUGGCCGAUUCAACCCCUUACACUGGUUGCCAAUCCGGACCCCAGAAUCAUCCCCCAGACCAUCGAUCACUCAGACGAAAAGUCAUCGCAUGGUAGAAUAAAGAGAGACCUAGAAUCAGAUGGGACGACCACUUCUGGAGUUGAAGGAUCAGAGCCUAAAAACAUCCAGAAACGACAAGCAGCCUACUACCCAAUGACCUGGCCAAUGCCCAUUCUUCCGUCGUGGGGCCCCAGCUACGCGUGGGCCACUCAGUCCUUCGCCACGCCCGGUGGAUCAUCCUCGUGGACUCUGGUGACAGUCUAGGAGAUAAAACCUACGAGAACAAAAUCCAAACCCAAAGCUCAUUGUCGAAUCUAGUCGGCACUUAUCUGAAAUUUCUCAUUUCGCUUUAUAGCACCUGAGUAAACGGCAUGAAUACUAACACCCUUGCCAAAUCGUAUGCGAUAAGGGGUUGAUGGAAUGGUGAACCUUCAGAUACAAAAAAAUUUCCAUCUGGGAGGGUAUGUUUCAGAGAAGUCUUCGCUUUUUCAGACGAAAGCCUGACUAAAAUAUUACAUUCUGUAAGGAGGGGAGUGCGAAUUUCAGUGAGAGAACACAUUUUCCCCCUCUUAGACAUCUUGAUUGACACCUUACUGAUAAAUUUGACUGACAGCUGAGUGACAGCGGACUUUUUUCUCUUGCCACAAGUUCCUUUACUUCAUAUUUACGUAACUCUAAGUAUUUGAGCUGAAAGCUAACGACUUUUAACACCUGCACAUUUGCUCAAUUUUUUCGAUUUUUUAAAUUUGUUUUGCAAUAAAUAUUCCCCAUCAUUAGUUAAAUAGUUAGUUAGUUGUUAAAUGCACGAACGAAUUAUUUCUGCCUUAUAUAUUGUUUUAUUUUUUUAUUAUUUUAAUUUCUCCUAUUUCACCUGAGUUAGUUUCAAAAGAUUUUACUCAUCAAUUUAUGAAAUUGGUGAGUCUGACUGCCAACUAACUUAGAUUAUUAUUAAGUAUCAGUCGUAAUUUAAAAUAGCCAAUACAACAUGUGAAAAUGCAAAUACAAACUAAUUUCUAAAAGGUAAAUUUCCUUGUUAUUUAAAACCAAGUGUUCCGAUUUAUUAAAAAAUUACCAUAAAAGUCCCUCGCAAGAAAAUACGAUUGCUUUCUUAUCUCCUCUUUGUCGCUGUAUACUAUUAGCUGAAAAUUUUCUUGACGAUGAACAAAGAUCUGUUUAGAAAAUAUGAGGGGAAAAACAUUUUUUUAAAAAGAAAAACUUUGGUAGGCUGAAUUGCUUCGUUGACGUAAGAGCGUAUCUUCAACUUAAACGCAAAUAUUGUGGUAAAGUCAUGGGGCAGGUUGUGCAUGACCGGAUUUCAUUGGGCGCAAAGCGGCUACUGAGAUUCAAGCCGGGUAGGAGCUGAGGAGGGGGGUUCUCCUUUUUAAAAAGAGAAAAAAAAGCCCAAUCACUGGUUCAUUUGAUUAUCACACAUUCAAUUAUAUUCAAUUCUAUUACCUAUGCCAUUUUACUCUUAACACGGUACUUUUCCGGAAUUUGUUCACCAGUGACUGAGAAUAAACAUAAACUAUAAUGCAUUGCAAUUGAGAGAAAAGUGUUUUCAAGUGCAUCUGACAGCCCUUCAAAAAACAAUGAAGUAUUUAAAAUAUAGCCAAUAAACGCUCAUUUUCAUAAUCAAAGGCACAGUAAAGUAUAAUACUCACAUACUUUUCCUUUUUUGCCCUAUGUGAAAAAAGAAAAGUGUGAGUAUACUAUGUUGAUACAACCUAAUAGUGGCGUGGCGUGCUUUGCGAUAUAUCGAUUGAUCCACCAUUUAAACCUAUAGAAAAGGAUCGAUUAUUAGGGUGUUCGCAGCGAACAUUCCUAAUAAUCGAUUCUCUACCACAGCUCAAAUGGAGAAGUAUCGAUAAUCGAUCAUUCACGCCUCGCCACUGCUUUCAUUUUGCAGGAGACUUUAACGCACGUUUAGGAAAGUUAUUUUUCCGUGCAUCGAUCUGCGUUGUGCAUGAUUGAGGGCUCGUCUUUCACUUCCUGGCUUCAUUUUCUUCCCCUUCAUCACAGUCAAUUGAUCAAACGAUCGACUUAAGAAUUGAUAACAGAAUAGGAAAUCUGUUCUUAUAAUCAAUGUUGACUUUAAAAAAAGUACUACAUGAAAAUGGAAUUUUCAAGAACAUUUAAAAAAAUGUAAAUUUUCUUGACAAGAACGUAAACAAUAAACUCACCCGAAUUCCUUUUUAAUAAAAGCCGAAAGGUAAAGAAGGUGUACUUUUGAAAAAUCAUUUCAGAAUUUUCGCAAAAGUUUUAUUUCUUUGAGAGUAAACUCUAAGUCUAAAACUAAAGUCACGAAUAUGUUCUUUGAACAUAUUCGUGAUUUUUGUUUAUAAAGUCUUAAAACAAAAUUAUUUCAGUGGAGGUUCAUUUUUAGAGAAUAAAUCAAGUUUCUCUGGAAAUGUUCGCAUACUUUGUUGGAAAGGUAUUAGUUCUUUUUUCAAAGAUUGAAUAUCAUGAAUUCCUAGGUGUGAAAUUAUACUUGCAUGCAAUUUUUCUUUUUUCUUUUUUCAAAUAGAAUGAAUAAUAAUUGUUAGUGUCCUCAGCUUGGGAGGAAAAACAUUUGUAAGAUUAUGAAUAACAAUUUUUGAGCAAGAAGCUUUGUUUAUUGUAGCAGCACAAGUACUCAAUUUUCAGCGCAAUAUUUAUGGAAGGGGGCCCUUUAAAAUGAAUAUUUUACAUGCAACGUCGUAGAAAAAGAGGGAAAAGAGAGAAAGCGAAUAAUAAAUUAUAAUUGAACGUAAUUUUCUAGGUUUAAAAUUUAGUUUUUAUGAUUUAGGUGUGCUUAUGUAGACACGUUUCUACUUAAAUAUAUGUCUCAUUCUUCUACAUACAUUGUAUUUGUCAGAGAAAAAAUAGUUCAUGUUUGCUUAAUCAAUCAUUGAAUUAAAGCAGAAACUGUUGAAUAUUUCGAAUCUCUUUCCCAUUUGAACUCUCUCCAAUUCUAUAUAUAUUGUGCAUAUAUUUGCGCUGUACUUAUUACUGUAUAUAUAUUUAUAUGAACACUAUAUUGAUAGGAAGGUAAAGAAAUUUUAUUUAUAUUUUGGCUAUCAUAAGCAAAAUUUCACACAGAAAGUGCGUUAUUGAUGUUUAACAAAGAGGCGCAAGUGAGUCAGGCAAAUACCUAGUUGUGAAUUGAAUUGAAUCGGAGUGAAAAUAACACAAACACAUCAAAAUUUGGGCUGCAAUUAUCUUGUAUAUUUCAGCUACUAUUAGUAAAAACUGUAACAAUAAUGGCGAGUGAGAACAUUGGGAACAAUGUAGAAAGAAAGGAACAAACUCAAUUAAGUACGGGCAAGUCUUCUUACGGGGAAUUGAAUUCUGCUAAGUUUGAGCUAAGUCUUAAAAUACGGUUUCGGGCAGGAACGAGUUUCGGUGAGGUGAGAAAACUAACCGUAGUAGGCAAUUGGGGCGGCAGGGUAGGCUCUGUAGGACCAGGUGCUGUAGGGGUAGGCGGCGUAGGG